GAUGAACGCUAGCGGCAGGCUUAACACAUGCAAGUCGAGGGGCAGCACGGGUAGCAAUACCUGGUGGCGACCGGCGCAAGGGUGCGUAACGCGUGAGCAACAUGCCCUAUACAGGGGGAUAAUCCAGGGAAACUUGGUCUAAUAUCCCAUAGUAUUUAGAGGAGGCAUCUUCUAUAAAUUAAAGCUUCGGUGGUAUAGGAUUGGCUCGCGUGACAUUAGCUAGAUGGUGAGGUAACGGCUCACCAUGGCAAUGAUGUCUAGGGGUUCUGAGAGGAAGGCCCCCCACACUGGGACUGAGACACGGCCCAGACUCCUACGGGAGGCAGCAGUGAGGAAUAUUGGACAAUGGAUGGAAAUCUGAUCCAGCCAUGCCGCGUGCAGGAAGACAGCCCUAUGGGUUGUAAACUGCUUUUACAGGGAUAAAGUGAGUCACGUGUGAUUUUUGCAUGUACCCUGUGAAUAAGCAUCGGCUAACUCCG
RNAcentral lists this ribosomal RNA (479 nucleotides) under uncultured bacterium. Its description in RNAcentral is "bacterial SSU rRNA". It matches the Rfam family "Bacterial small subunit ribosomal RNA", at positions 28 to 505 of the family's 1533-position model. The record is from RNAcentral.